GUCCGAGUGGAGCUGCGGGACAGCCCGAACCUCCAGGUCAGCCCCGCGGCCCUCCAUGGCGCUGGUGCGCGCACUCGUCUGCUGCCUGCUGACUGCCUGGCACUGCCGCUCCGGCCUCGGGCUGCCCGUGGCGCCCGCAGGCGGCAGGAAUCCUCCUCCGGCGAUAGGACAGUUUUGGCAUGUGACUGACUUACACUUAGACCCUACUUACCACAUCACAGAUGACCACACAAAAGUGUGUGCUUCAUCUAAAGGUGCAAAUGCCUCCAACCCUGGCACUUUUGGAGAUGUUCUGUGUGAUUCUCCAUAUCAACUUAUUUUGUCAGCAUUUGAUUUUAUUAAAAAUUCUGGACAAGAAGCAUCUUUCAUGAUAUGGACAGGGGAUAGCCCACCUCAUGUUCCUGUACCUGAACUCUCAACAGACACUGUUAUAAAUGUGAUCACUAAUAUGACAACCACCAUCCAGAGUCUCUUUCCAAAUCUCCAGGUUUUCCCUGCACUGGGUAAUCAUGACUAUUGGCCACAGGUAAAUUUGAUAGACUUUCAGAAAUGCUUAAAGAAUUUUUCCUAUUAGUAGUGUCAAAAUUGUGACAAUAACUAGCUAGUGAUAGGGCAUGGGAAUGGGUCUUAUAGAGGGAGAAUAUGGUCUUAAUCCUAACCAUCAAGAAAGGCAAAGACAAGUACUUUGGGGACUGUAAAAGUAAUCUUUUAAUACUUCAUGAGAAGUUGUAUCAAUAGUGAGUUUUCAGAAUAAAAUUAUCCAGUUUGUGGAUUAUUAAUUUAUGUUUUCCUUCAUAAUCUUCUUCAAUUUCUCUUUUCUUUUGAGUAAUGUUCUGGUUCAUUUGCAUGUCCAUGACAAGGUGAGCAAGUAAGGUUAAUAUUGAUAAAUAUUUACUUUUUCCA
RNAcentral lists this small RNA (903 nucleotides) under Pan troglodytes (chimpanzee). RNAcentral's name for it is "processed transcript". The record is from RNAcentral. Lineage: Eukaryota; Metazoa; Chordata; Mammalia; Primates; Hominidae.